This is a long non-coding RNA of Grammomys surdaster, 1605 nucleotides long. RefSeq lists it as uncharacterized. The record is from RefSeq and is a predicted model, not a curated record. NCBI's taxonomy places the organism in Eukaryota, Metazoa, Chordata, Mammalia, Rodentia, Muridae. The transcript is spliced from 9 exons.
GCCAUCCUCCACACUGGCAUCUCGUGGGUGCCAGGGCCUGUGCAUCUAGCUAGCCAGAGCCCUGGUCAGAGCUGAGGAGCAGAGCGGGAACAUGGCAGCUGCCUAGGAACAAACUGGAUCAGGCACUGUUUUCUAAAUAGCACUCCUACAGGCUGACCUGAGUCCUUGACUUUCAACCAUGGUGCCCCUGGUUUCCUUUCUGUCUCCAGCGUCGGUCCACCAAGCGGCAGAAGCAUUUGCAUUAAGAACUGAGGUCACCAAAGGCAAAACUCAAGGUGCAGCACGGAUUUCCUGUUCACACUUUCUUGGCACAUUCUGUGAGUGGACCACUUAGUGACCCAAGAUGCAGCAUGGGUUUCCUGUUUGUUCUCGAUACAUGUAGUGGUUGGACCUUUCAUCAGCCCAGGACUCAGCAUGAAUUUUCUGUCCACUCUUUCUUGGCACACCAGUGGCUAGACCUCCAAUCAGUUCUCUCUGCUUCCUGUUAUGCUCAGUACACCCAGCGUUUGGCCCACUGGUCAGAUCAGAUACAGAGAAUGUAUUUCCUGUUCUCCCCCUUUUGGUACAUCGGUGGGUGGAGCUCCCAGCAGCACAGGGCUCAGUAGCAAUCUCCUGUUCUCUUUCCCCUAGAACACCAAGUGGGUGGAUCUUGAUCCAGCUCUAGACGGAGGUCUUCCUCGUGCAGCAGGUGAUGAAAGGCAGACUAGCGAAGCAUUCUGGAAAGGCUCGGAAGACAGAAGCUGUUAGCUUGAAAUGGAAAGACUGAGGAGUAGCUGACAAGGAAGACCAUCUGGGAAGCCCUUCGCCUUGGUACAAAGGUCUCAUCACACAUGAAACAGUAUCUGUUGCCAUUGCCAGGAGAUACGCGACAAAUCAUCACGGAUUUAGCACACACCUUAAGGUUGCACUAAGUUACCAUCAUGCACCUCUGAGCACCGAGGUCUAGCUGUGAGUCCUGGGACAGAGGAAGCCUGGAGAAGAAUCCAGUUAUUGAAGGUUUGGGAGACUUUGCUACCUAGAGGAUUCCACUAUUGCUCUAGCUGUGGUUUGGUAUCUCAUAAAAAGUGUCUUCCAUCUCUUGAAUUGAGCUCAGCCUUUCUGUAUGAGGCAGAAAGAGCUCAAGAACGUCAGGUCCCACCAAAAAGGCAGCAUAUACCAGCUGAUAUGAGGCCUCCAACCACCAUGGCUUCACCAGGGUCAGGAGAAUACCCAGUGGAAGCCUUUAGCAUUCUUUAGCCUUAGUGCUCUGGAGCUGGACCUGGACCUGAGCUCUCCUCAGCAUCUUCCCCCCUCCCCAACAGCUCCCACCCUCCCAACCCUGCCUCCAUGCUGGGGUCUGCUCUCCUUAUCACCCCCUCCACCACCUCCAGGCUGGGGUCUGCUCCCCUCAGUGUCCCCCGCCCCUGCCUCCAUGCUGGGGUCUGCUCCCCUCAGCAUCACCCCAACCCCCACCUCCAUGCUGGAGUCUCCUCACCCCAGAACCCCGCCCCCUCUGCCCAUGUUGGGGUCUGUUCCUCAUGGUCUCUAAGGCAGCCUUCACUGCAGCCGCUCUUGCUGGCCGUCCUUCCUCCCAUGUUCUUACUUCAUAAACUCGGUCCUGAUAAA